RNAcentral lists this ribosomal RNA (492 nucleotides) under uncultured bacterium. Its description in RNAcentral is "partial 16S ribosomal RNA". It matches the Rfam family "Bacterial small subunit ribosomal RNA", at positions 29 to 507 of the family's 1533-position model. The record is from RNAcentral.
AGUGAACACUGGCGGUAGGCCUAACACAUGCAAGUCGAACGGCAGCACAGUAAGAGCUUGCUCUUACGGGUGGCGAGUGGCGGACGGGUGAGGAAUACAUCGGAAUCUACUUUUUCGUGGGGGAUAACGUAGGGAAACUUACGCUAAUACCGCAUACGACCUACGGGUGAAAGCAGGGGAUCUUCGGACCUUGCGCGAUUGAAUGAGCCGAUGUCGGAUUAGCUAGUUGGCGGGGUAAAGGCCCACCAAGGCGACGAUCCGUAGCUGGUCUGAGAGGAGGAUCAGCCACACUGGAACUGAGACACGGUCCAGACUCCUACGGGAGGCAGCAGUGGGGAAUAUUGGACAAUGGGCGCAAGCCUGAUCCAGCCAUACCGCGUGGGUGAAGAAGGCCUUCGGGUUGUAAAGCCCUUUUGUUGGGAAAGAAAAGCAGCAGGUUAAUACCCCGCUGUUCUGACGGUACCCAAAGAAUAAGCACCGGCUAACUUCGUG